UAACAUAAAUCUUAAAAAUCUGAAGACACUGGUGCAGCUUCAUGGGCCCAGCAAUUAUGCGAAAGAACUUGUCCUAACUGGCUCCCUUGGUCUCUUUCAUUCUGAACUAAACUGCUCUUUUAAAAACAAGGUACAUUU
RNAcentral lists this small nucleolar RNA (138 nucleotides) under Sorex araneus (European shrew). Lineage: Eukaryota; Metazoa; Chordata; Mammalia; Eulipotyphla; Soricidae. The record is from RNAcentral.